Molecule: ribosomal RNA, 451 nt
Filed under: uncultured bacterium
Lineage: Bacteria
Description: bacterial SSU rRNA
Rfam family: Bacterial small subunit ribosomal RNA
Source: RNAcentral
UUGCCAGACUCCUACGGGAGGCAGCAGUGGGGAAUAUUGGGCAAUGGGCGCAAGCCUGACCCAGCAACGCCGCGUGAAGGAAGAAGGCUUUCGGGUUGUAAACUUCUUUUCUCAGGGACGAAUAGAUGACGGUACCUGAGGAAUAAGCCCCGGCUAACUACGUGCCAGCAGCCGCGGUAAUACGUAGGGGGCAAGCGUUAUCCGGAUUUACUGGGUGUAAAGGGAGCGUAGACGGCGUGCCAAGUCUGAUGUGAAAGGCCGGGGCUCAACCCCGGGACCGCAUUGGAAACUGGCAUGCUGGAGUGCCGGAGGGGCAAGCGGAAUUCCUAGUGUAGCGGUGAAAUGCGUAGAUAUUAGGAGGAACACCGGUGGCGAAGGCGGCUUGCUGGACGGUGACUGACGUUGAGGCUCGAAAGCGUGGGGAGCAAACAGGAUUAGAUACCCCUGUAUA